AUAGUGUAAUUUCUUUUAAUGUAUAGGAUUGUUUCCAACUCAUCAGGUCUGGUGCAAUUCUGUCACGAUUUAACAUGGAACAUCCGGGCUGCCCUUCCUGAAUAGUCCAGGGCAAGAGCAGUAGUGAGUGAUUCUUCUCUUUUCUCGGGUUCACUUUGACCUGAAGCAAGUUGCUAUCUUCGGAGAGUAUGUAUGGACCCCAACAGAAUGGGGCCCAGGGGUCUUCAUCCCUUACAAAUCCUGGACUGUAUCAAAGGGAAGGCCUCGGUAAUUCGUGCUCACCCAGCCCAUUCGGAUCCUGGUCCUCCCUCUCUUGGGGUUCAGGGGGUUCCUAGAGUUUUCUUGUUCCCACCCAGGCAUGGGGGGCUAGUGUCCAGCUGAGAGUUCUCUCUCCACUGGGCGGGGGUCCGUGCCUGGAUGGCCAGCGCAUGGACCGGACCUCCCAGCUCCUCGGCCAGCGCUGCGUGGACCAGCCGGUGUCGUUGUAGGGGGCUCAGUCCCUCGAAACGAGAGCUCACCACAGCCACGCGGAAGUGAGUCUCACUGCCAGGCGGGACCGCGUGGCCACCGCUCUCGUUGCGAAGCUCUAGCACCUCGGGGCUCAGGGCCUCCUCCAACUUCGUGCGAAUGGCGGCCUCCACCGGACCGAUGGCCCCGGAUCCCGCGCUGCCCUGGCACAAACAAACGCGGCCAGCCAUGGAGACCAGACCCAGGACCAGCCGCCCACUCAGCAUGGGCUACGCCAGAGACUCAGACGCCAGGAGUGAGGGUCGGGGCGAUCCGCCUGGUGAGAGCACAAUGUCAACACCCGCCCCGCGAUCCCCGCAUCCGCCCUAACCCCACGCCCGGACGUCCACACCAGCUCCUAUAGGGAGCCCGCCUUGAUGCCACACGGGGAGACCCGAGACACCGCCCCUUUUCUCUACGUGACGUGGUGAAUUCGACCUCCAGCUGUGGAAGUGAAGGGACAAGCGAAGAUUAGAAAGGCCCGCACGCGAGGCGCGUUCGUUCCUUAGGGGAUUUGCAAAGAAUGGGCAAAAGUAGGGCAUGUGCAACUGCGUACUUGUGGUUGGGCCGAAGCCCCUGUGUUCCCUGUGAAGCCCCGGAGACGCCCCUUCUACCUGCCGCUCAGCCUCGGCCACUGCGAUUCCCGCUCAGGGCCAGGACUCUGGACGCUCCGGAGCAAAAUGCAGUCCUGGCGCCCUUCCUGAGGCACGCUGGGAAAUGGAGUCCUCGCUGCGCGUUGGUAGCACGGGCAGGCACCACGUGGUGCCCUGAGGGCUCAUGGGAACUGUAGUCUCGGAUUCUCCCCACUGGUGGGUCCCAUCCAACCAGUUGAAAGCUUG
RNAcentral lists this long non-coding RNA (1346 nucleotides) under Homo sapiens (human). RNAcentral's name for it is "HSALNT0295638". Lineage: Eukaryota; Metazoa; Chordata; Mammalia; Primates; Hominidae. The record is from RNAcentral.